UGUGGCCUUCAAAUCUAUUUUCUCC
Molecule: non-coding RNA, 25 nt
Filed under: Mus musculus (house mouse)
Lineage: Eukaryota; Metazoa; Chordata; Mammalia; Rodentia; Muridae
Source: RNAcentral